CCUACGGGCGGCAGCAGUGAGGAAUAUUGGUCAAUGGGCGUAAGCCUGAACCAGCCAAGUCGCGUGAGGGAUGAAGGUUCUAUGGAUCGUAAACCUCUUUUAUAAGGGAAUAAAGUGCGGUACGUGUCCCGGUUUGUAUGUAUCUUAUGAAUAAGGAUCGGCUAACUCCGUGCCAGCAGCCGCGGUAAUACGGAGGAUCCGAGCGUUAUCCGGAUUUAUUGGGUUUAAAGGGUGCGUAGGCGGCAUUUUAAGUCAGCGGUGAAAGUCUGUGGCUCAACCAUGGAAUUGCCGGUGAAACUGGGCGGCUUGAGUGUGUUUGAGGCAGGCGGAAUGCGUGGUGUAGCGGUGAAAUGCUUAGAUAUCAGGCAGAACCCCGAUUGCGAAGGCAGCCUGCCGAGCCAUGACUGACGCUGAUGCACGAAAGCGUGGGGAUCAAACAGGAUUAGAUACCCCAGUAGUC
This 460-nucleotide ribosomal RNA is filed under the name uncultured bacterium. Its description in RNAcentral is "partial 16S ribosomal RNA". It matches the Rfam family "Bacterial small subunit ribosomal RNA", at positions 338 to 795 of the family's 1533-position model. The record is from RNAcentral.